This 65-nucleotide small RNA is filed under the name Arabidopsis thaliana (thale cress). Its description in RNAcentral is "ATSL153910". Lineage: Eukaryota; Viridiplantae; Streptophyta; Magnoliopsida; Brassicales; Brassicaceae. The record is from RNAcentral.
GAAAAAACAUACAAAAAGCACCAAAAUUACAAAAUAAAAGGUAAGUAUUCCGAAAAACUCGCAAA